CUAGCCGUAAACGAUGGACACUAGGUGUUGGUGGUAUCAACCCCGCCAGUGCCGUAGCUAACGCAUUAAGUGUCCCGCCUGGGGAGUACGGCCGCAAGGCUAAAACUCAAAGGAAUUGACGGGGGCCCGCACAAGCAGCGGAGCGUGGGGUUUAAUUCGACGCAACGCGAAGAACCUUACCAGGGCUUGACAUGGUCAGGAAGUCGGCGGAAACGUCGGUGUCCCGCAAGGGACCUGAUCACAGGUGU
This 248-nucleotide ribosomal RNA is filed under the name uncultured bacterium. RNAcentral describes it as "partial 16S ribosomal RNA". It matches the Rfam family "Bacterial small subunit ribosomal RNA", at positions 796 to 1041 of the family's 1533-position model. The record is from RNAcentral.